GACCGACAUCAGGGAUUCGUUCUGCGAGCCGUUGCCCACCGCCAGGUAGGAGUGCAUCCCCAGCUCUUUCAUCUGCUGCUCGCCGAUAACGCGGGUCACCACAUUCUGGCUGUAGCUGUCCGCCAACUGGCGCGCCUGGGAGGCCAGAUAGGCCGCGUUGCAGAUGUUCGGCGGCAUAUUGCCGAGAUCUUUCGC
Molecule: non-coding RNA, 195 nt
Organism: Pluralibacter gergoviae
Lineage: Bacteria; Pseudomonadati; Pseudomonadota; Gammaproteobacteria; Enterobacterales; Enterobacteriaceae
Rfam family: Yersinia sRNA 276
Source: Rfam